GGGCACUGCGUCAUCAUCAAUGGCGGAAGUAUCAGAGGUGUUAAGAGGAGCUUCGUCAGGUGACAAUCCAAGCACCAGUGGGCCUUCCGUAAUCCAGAGCCAUACAGCUGACUGGAAUUCAGAUAUAGCGCCAGAAACACUAAGGGAUAGCGCUUUUGGAGACUGUUUGACAGUGGAUGUGAAAAUAGCAGGGGUGCUCACCAAAUGCUUGUUGGACACCGGUUCAGAGGUUACCACCAUCUCAGAGUCUCACUUUAAACAUCAUUUCGGAGGACAAGAGAUACAGCUGGCGUCUGCUAACUGGGUGCGCCUCACUGCUGCAAACGGACUAGACAUUCAUGUCCUUGGAUGUCUACAGGCAGACAUAGAGUGCAUGGGAAAGCUGCUUCCAGGGAAGUGUGUUUUUGUGCUAACAGACUCAAACCCCGAUGUGAAGGAGAUGAAGGGAUUGGCUGGAAUUGUGGGGAUGAAUGUGCUUAGUGAAUUGAAAAACCUUUUGCUGUCUGGAAAGGAUUUGGAUAAGGAGAGCAAAGUGAGCCAAUGUGCAGAUGCUAAUGUCAGACGAGUGAUAGCCAAAGUGAAAAAAGAUGAAAGACUCGUGGGCCCAGAGGGAAGGAUAGGAUUCUUUAAGGUGUCUGGGAAGCAAGUUGUGAUAAUCCCACCCUUAAGUGAGAAGAUUGUGGAAGGCCACUGCAGUAUACCUCAUCAAGUAAAGCAUCACGUAUUGGUGGAGUGCACAGGUUCUGUUACCCUUCCAAAAGGAUUGUUAGUAGCCAAUGUGCUUGCAAGCCCAGAAAAGGGGAAAGUUCCGGUGCGAGUGUUAAAUCUCUGCCAAGAAACCGUCAGGUUAAUGCCGAGAUCCAGGAUUGCAGUUGUGUCUAGGCCUCAAAAAGUAGUUCCAAAGCAAAUGGUGGAAUUUGAAGAGGAUGAUGAUGAGUUGCGUGUUAAACAACAUGUACAGUGCAGCAUUAAGAGUGAGAGCCAGCCCGAACAAUUGUCAAUUCCAGUUCAGAUGAAUCAGGACGGACUGUCUGAGAUGCAAUGGGAGGAGCUAAAUGCCCUACUGAGACGUUACAGUGAUGUUUUCUCCAAGAAUGACACAGAUUAUGGAUACACAACAACAGUGACACAUAGCAUACCUACUGGAGAUGCUCAGCCAAUAAAACAAUGCCAUCGACGAGUCCCACCUCACGUUUUUCAAGAGUUUAAGAGACAUGUGCAGGAUCUUGUCAGUCAAGGUGUACUGAACGAAAGUCGCAGUCCGUGGGCCUCGCCUGCAGUCAUUGUGAUAAAAAAGACGGAGGUGUUCGUUUCUGCUGCGACUACAGGAGACUCAACCAAGUCACAUUUAAGGAUGCCUACCCCCUUCCGCGUGUGGAGGAAUCCUUGGAUGCUUUGGGGAAUGCACAGUUGUUUUCCACACUGGAUCUCACGGCAGGUUAUUUUCAAGUGGCGGUAAAUGAAUCAGAUCGGGAGAAGACUGCUGUCACAACUCUGUUCGGGUUGUUUGAGUGGACACGGAUGCCGUUUGGUUUAUGCAAUGCUCCGGCCACCUUUCAGCGAUUAAUGAGUGCAGCAUUAGGUGAUCUGGCCUUUGACGUUCUCUUGAUCUAUCUUGACGAUAUAAUUGUGUUCUCUGUGGAUUUCAAGAGCCAUUGUGAGAAGUUGGAGCUUGUGUUUUCAAGGUUGCGUCAGCACGGACUGAAGCUGAAACCAAGUAAAUGUUUCCUUCUGAGACCAGAGGUCCGGUUCUUGGGACACAUCAUUUCGUCAAAGGGAGUUCAAGUGGACAAGGACAAGGUUCAGUGCUUGGAUGCGUGGCCUUCACCGAAGAAUGUUAGAGAGGUCAGACAGCUGCUGGGAUUUAUGAGUUACUAUCGUCGGUUUGUCCCAAGAUUCGCACAGCUGGCAAAGCCCCUACAUGCCCUGGUGGGAAAAGGUAACACAGGCAAGUCAGCAGAACCGUUUAUCUGGAGUGAUGAGUGUCAGUCCGCAUUCAGCAAGCUAAAGAGUUGUCUCAUGUCACCUCCGAUUCUGGCUUAUCCUGAUUUUCAGUGUCCGUUCAUACUCACGACUGAUGGGAGCCUCAAUGGACUUGGAGCAAUACUCAGUCAAAAGCAGGGGGGCGUUGAACGUGUCACUGCUUACGUGAGCAGAGGUCUAAAGGGAUUUGAAAGAAAUGACAAGUAUUACAGUGUCUUCAAGUUGGAGUUACUUGCCCUUAAAUGGGCAGUAACGGAGAAAUUUAAGGAAUACCUGAUAUUUGCUAAAUUUCAGGUUAUUACUGACCACAACCCUCUUCGCUACCUGGAGACAGCCAACCUCGGAGCAGUGGAACAGCGUUGGUCUGCACAGUUAGCAGAGUUCAACUUUGAGGUGUGUUACAAGCCCGGCAGACAGAACAUCAAUGCUGAUGUUCUUUCGAGGAUUCCCUGGAGUAUGGAACCCGAGGAGGAUGACAAUGGAAA
This is a long non-coding RNA of Cyprinus carpio carpio, 2468 nucleotides long. Lineage: Eukaryota; Metazoa; Chordata; Actinopteri; Cypriniformes; Cyprinidae. The record is from Ensembl.